This 515-nucleotide ribosomal RNA is filed under the name uncultured bacterium. Its description in RNAcentral is "bacterial SSU rRNA". It matches the Rfam family "Bacterial small subunit ribosomal RNA", at positions 8 to 518 of the family's 1533-position model. The record is from RNAcentral.
AGAGUUUGAUCCUGGCUCAGGAUGAACGCUAGCUACAGGCUUAACACAUGCAAGUCGAGGGGUAACGUGAGAGAAGCUUGCUUCUCUUGACGACGACCGGCGAAUGGGUGAGUAACGCGUAUCCAACCUGCCGCACGCCCGGGAACAGCCCUUGGAAACGAGGAUUAAAUCCCGAUACCUUGUGAGCACGCAUGAGCAUACAAGAAAACAGGCAUGCGAUGGGGAUGCGUCUGAUUAGCUUGUUGGCGGGGUAACGGCCCACCAAGGCGACGAUCAGUAGGGGUUCUGAGAGGAAGGUCCCCCACAUUGGAACUGAGACACGGUCCAAACUCCUACGGGAGGCAGCAGUGAGGAAUAUUGGUCAAUGGGCGAGAGCCUGAACCAGCCAAAGUAGCGUGAAGGAUGACUGCCCUACGGGUUGUAAACUUCUUUUGUCCAGGAAUAAAAAAUCCCUCGUGAGGGGUCUUGCAGGUACUGGUUGAAUAAGGACCGGCUAAUUCCGUGCCAGCCGCUGC